This is a non-coding RNA of Stegodyphus mimosarum, 74 nucleotides long. NCBI's taxonomy places the organism in Eukaryota, Metazoa, Arthropoda, Arachnida, Araneae, Eresidae. The record is from Rfam.
GCCUUCGUGGUGUAGUGGUCAGCACGCUGGGCGCGUAUUUCCAGAGGUCCAUGGUUCGAGUCCCGGCGAAGGCG